Acanthaster planci (crown-of-thorns starfish) is the source of this 2534-nucleotide long non-coding RNA. The record is from RefSeq and is a predicted model, not a curated record. Lineage: Eukaryota; Metazoa; Echinodermata; Asteroidea; Valvatida; Acanthasteridae.
CACAAACCGACAGAGAAAUCUGAAUCGUGGUGUAAUCAAGUACGACGACGAAAGUGACAUCGUGAUUGAAACAGCGGAAAAGUUGGACUUUCCGCUUCGUGUCAUGACCUCUGAGACAGACCAAGCAGCCUGUGAACCCGGAUCAACCAGUUAUUGAAAUCAUCCACAUCAGGCCGAGAUGGACUCAAACCCAUCGGCAUUGACAACACAGACUUGCUGUGGAAUUUACAACCGUCUGGAUACGGCUUUUAAAAUAUAGUGGUUUUAAAAUAUGCUAGCCAGUGUUAAUCCAUAACUCACUGCAUUUAGAAAAUUGCUACUAACUGAUAAUAUAAUGCACAUACCGUAUGCAUUGCUGAGUAUUUCAUCCCAUUCUCUUGUUUUCAUGUGAGUGGAUAUUUUACAUACAAAACCCUGUGAAGGUAAUUUACAAGGUAUAAAAGGUAAUGUUUAGUCACUGUAACAUAAAACUGUACGACAAAAAUAUGCCUGCCCGGUGGUUGUUGAAUUUCCACGGAGACAGCAGUCGGUGUUUAUAAAUAGACAGGCGAUAUUUAGUUGUUGGGGUGAAAUACUUUGUGAUAAACGCCAUCUGGGUUCAUGUGAGCUGGACUGCGUUAAAACACAUUGCUACUUGCUAGUAUUAGGUGUGAUUUGAAAGAUGUCGCAAAUUUAGGAUUUGAUAUUAUAUUAGGCAAGUAAAUAUCAUAUAAUGGCCCCCCUACUUUGUCUCUAAACCCUUGGCGUGCAUAGAAAAUCCACAUCUUAGUUUGGCCUUUUUGGCGUGUUCAUAAGGAGACUAAUUAAAUAAAAUGCAUUCGUCCACAACUUUCGUUUUUAUUGCUGAAACUCCCCGCCACGAUUUUUUUUAUACAAAGAAAACUUUAAAAGGGAGUAGAAAAGCGAGUAUUCGGUAUAUUUAUUUAUCAGAUAUUAGCUCCAAAACCCUCACAAAGCGACGCCAGCAAAUAAAAGCAAGGAUGUCGGGACCGUGAGUAAUGCUUUUGAUUUGCGUAGCCCCACCAUCAUGUAAUGAGCACAAAGCCGCCUUUGCUUUUGAAGUUGCCCUACCCCCACACCAAGGAUUGAAAAACAACUUGCUUUUAAGCAUGGAGAAAUUUAAAUUCAAAGAAGAGAUCAAAAAGCAGAAUAGACUCAGAACUGGAUGAGAUAACGCGGCCUCUUUUCACGUUCAGAAAGAGGCUUUGUUCACUAAGGUAAUGUUAAAUGAAAAGUGAUGUUAACUUUACGGUAAAAUGAAGUCAAUUUUAAAAACAUUUUAAUAUUAAUUAAUACAGUAAGCCUGACUAAUCUACGGUUGAUGAAUAAUUUAGAUUUGUUUUUAAUUAGUGAUACUUCAGUUUUGUUUAACCAAUAUUAGAUAAACUACAUUAGGAGUGAAGGAUUUAGAACACCUCAGCACCGCACCUACUUUUAACAUUCCUUGACAAUCUUGGAAGCAGAAUCUGAAAUUUAUACAAAACACCGAGUUACAUUUCAUAAAUGCCACGCAUUGCUGAAUUGUUUUUAGUUUAUUUACUGAGUUAUAAAAAAUAAAUAUAAAAGGUAGGCUACACUCCUCAAGAACAUUAUGGCAUCAUGUGUCUGCCGUCCAAUGAAAUAUCUUGACACAAUACAAUAGGCUGUUUAUUCUUGUGUCGGCCAUCUUGAAUUUAAAGUGAGGUGAAACUUUCCAUGUUGGGCUCAUCAGAGUAAAAGGCACAGCGAUGACAUAAAAAAAUUAAAGUGAGGUGAAACUUUCCAUUUUGGGCUCAUCAGAGUAAAAGGCAUAGCGAUGACAUAAAAAAAUUCAUACAAAUUUGCGCCAGUUUCUGUUUAUGAAUGAUUUGCUAUAAACUCUAUCUAAAUUUUUCAGCCACAUAAGAAAAAUAGACAGCGAGGUUGGGAACGGGCACCAAAUAGUCUGGCUCCACCCUGUUGAACAAAUUACAUUGAAUUUAACGGAUUAAACAAGACAAGAAAUGGCUUCCCUGUGAUUUAUCCCAAAUUGUGACUUAUAAAAAAGAACUUAUAAAAAGAAAAUUGUGACUUAUAAAAAGGAACACAGAGGCGAGAGGGUCAUCUGACCUGGGGCUGUGCCAGAGGUAGUCUUAUUUACUGAGCCGAUACCUAUGUGGCUUGCCCCCAUCUAUUCACUUUCCUUCUCCGUUUUUAGUUUGCCGGCAGCACCAUGAUUUAGGCCGACAAAACUGACUAAUGGGGAUGUGGCACCCAUCCCUUCUGGCGACGGCUUCAAUGCUGUCGCUGAACACAGUGAUGGAUGCUGUCGGAGAUGGUCCUUGAUUAUAGUUGGCAGACAUCAAAGUCUUACGAAAUCCUCAUGUAUGCAGUCGGAUGCUAUCGGGGAGGGACACGGCCCUUCGUCAUAGAUAACGAACAUCAGAAGCUUCCCCCAUCCGUAAUUCUCACAGAGGCUGCAAACUGAGCUGUACGUUAAUCCGCCAUAGCAUAUCACUUCUGAGUGGACUUGAGAACAACCAGUGAACUCACCGUUCACGUAGAACCGUGCGCAC